Molecule: long non-coding RNA, 1180 nt
Filed under: Homo sapiens (human)
Lineage: Eukaryota; Metazoa; Chordata; Mammalia; Primates; Hominidae
Description: HSALNT0329588
Source: RNAcentral
GUAAUCCUCCUGCCUCAGCCUCCCAAAGUGCUAGGAUUGCAGGUAAAUGAUGUCUUGCUUGGGAAUAGAACCCUUGGAGCGUGUAGAUGGGAUACCACGGUCUUCCAGCUCCUAUUGCAGGGCUGCUUUGUGUGGGAAAGCUGGUGGCAGAUCAUGGAAAGACGGCCCAUCAUAGAACCAAACACACGUGAUCACAGGCAUGACGCAAAACAAUGAAGCUUGGUACCUUCCUCUCGCCACAGGAUGUUUGCAACUGCAGCAGCAGAGAAUGAGGAAAGCAGGAGUGUGAUGGAGUCAAGGAAAAAGAAGAAAGCAGUGUUAAACCGUCACUGCAGUGAUUCCAUUUAUGAAGAUCCUGGUACCUAGUCCAUCACUUACAGAAUCUAUACCACUCAUUGCCCUAGGAACAGUAUCUUGGGGGAAGCUCUGGACAUGAACAAAUGCUUUCAGGUCUCCAGACCCUUUGAUUCUUAAGUGAAUCUUUGAAAUCAUGCCCUAGGACCACAGAAGCUAAUGGAAUUUCUCACAUUUCAUGGAUGAUCAAGAGUAAGCAACAUCUCUCCCAGAUUUCCUGGACAACCAGCAGGAGAAGUGACUUUCAACUAGGAUUCUCCUAAGAUGACCACGUGAAAUACUUCUGAUUAUCUACUUUGAUGAAAAUGGCUUAGCCUGGAGUCUUUGACCAUGAUUAACACCCAUGUCUAUGAAAUCACACCUGCAGGCCUACCUGGGGAGCAGUGGUUAUGAGGAGAGCACGCUUAGCACACCGAUGGGCUGGACCCCUAGUGUAAAGGCUACCACACUCCCAAUGGUGUGCAUGUGUGCACAGGUCAGGUUCUGGGCCACUGUGGGACAUCACGUGGAUGAAGGGCAGAGGUUCAGGGCAUACAGCAAGUAAAAAGCAGAGCUGGGACUCGACUAUUUGGGUUUCCUUGUGUUCCUGGGCUCUGUCUGCUGUCCAGGGAAUCUCCCUGUCUGUUUCCAGAGUUGUCUAGGUUGCCAGGGAAGGCCUGCUCACCUCUGGGUGCCCUCCAAUUCCAGCUUUAUGCAAAGAGGGAUAUGAGGCUUACCCCUGUCUUCACGGGCUCAUGGUUGGCAGCUGUGGCCCUGGUCAAUUGGUGCCCUCCCUUGCCACCCAACACCUCCCAGCCAGCUCAGUGAGAAGCAUAAACGCGUGUCG